RNAcentral lists this unclassified non-coding RNA (316 nucleotides) under plant metagenome. Its description in RNAcentral is "partial contains 5.8S ribosomal RNA, internal transcribed spacer 2, and large subunit ribosomal RNA". The stretch from base 1 to 105 matches the Rfam family "5.8S ribosomal RNA", at positions 50 to 154 of the family's 154-position model. The record is from RNAcentral.
GAAAUGCGAUAAGUAAUGUGAAUUGCAGAAUUCAGUGAAUCAUCGAGUCUUUGAACGCACAUUGCGCCCCCUGGCAUUCCGGGGGGCAUGCCUGUCCGAGCGUCAUUGCUGCCCUUCAAGCCCGGCUUGUGUGUUGGGUCGUCGUCCCCUCCGGGGGACGGGCCCGAAAGGCAGCGGCGGCACCGCGUCCGGUCCUCGAGCGUAUGGGGCUUUGUCACCCGCUCGAUAAGGACCGGCCGGGCGCCAGCCGGCGUCUCCAACCUUUUUUUUCUCAGGUUGACCUCGGAUCAGGUAGGGAUACCCGCUGAACUUAAGC